GACUGCAAAAGAGUGUGUGUAAAGAUAAUUUUAAACUUGUUACUUUCAAACUGUAUAAAAAGCUACGGUAUUUCUUGGCUCAGCGGAGUGCACUGGGGAGAACACCUGCCCCUUUGCAUUCCCCGGCCGUAAUAAAAGUGCUUUUCAGAUUGGCAGAGGUUUCUUUGAAUCAAUUUGGCGACCCAGAUGGGACUGAUUUCUGCUCGCCGGUGAGGACCCUCCGGAACCGGGGACCCUCUGCGCGCCCCGGGACGUUACUCCGGUGAGGCUCCCCGGGCUCCGCUGGAUCACCACGGGAGUAGAUGAAGACCCUGUGCACAGCCACAGAUAUCGGGAGAAGUACCACCAGCAAUCUAUGACCAAAUCUACCCAGGGGUUUUGGCUGACACACUCAACCUGUAACAGUAAGAUUAAAACCUGGGACACGGCCGAUUUAAAAGAUGCCUUUUUCUGCUUGCCUUUGGACCCUAAAAGUCAAAAAUUUUUUUUGCCUUUGAAUGAGAAAACCCGGAUACAGGACAAAUAUGGACUAAUAGUCAAACCUCUAUACCAGAUUCUACAAGAUGGAGAUCAACAAUUAACAUGGACUGGAGAAGCUAAGCAAGUUCCAUCGGCUUAAGAAGGAACUGAUGCAGACACCUGCACUGGGCCUCCCAGAUGUAACGAAACCUUUUUUUUCUCUUUUUGCAUGAAAGGCAGGGAAUUGCACUGGGAGUCCUGGCCCAGCAGGUUGGACAAUAUCGCCGAACAGUGGCAUACUUCUCUAAACAGUUAGAUGAAGUGAGCAAAGGAUGGCCAGGAGGUCUGAGGGCCAUAGCUGCAGUAGUACUGAACAUACA
Lepidothrix coronata (blue-crowned manakin) is the source of this 839-nucleotide long non-coding RNA. RefSeq lists it as uncharacterized. The transcript is spliced from 3 exons. The record is from RefSeq and is a predicted model, not a curated record. NCBI's taxonomy places the organism in Eukaryota, Metazoa, Chordata, Aves, Passeriformes, Pipridae.